GAUUUGUCUGGUURAUUCCGAUAACGAACGAGACUCUGGCCUGCUAAAUAGGCCGUCGGUUUCCGCGCGACCCGGCUUCGGCGUGCCCUCGCGGUCGCCGUCGUCCGGGCCAUCGCGCGCGCCGGCGGGACUUCUUAGAGGGACGAGCGGCGUUUAGCCGCACGAGAUUGAGCAAUAACAGGUCUGUGAUGCCCUUAGAUGUCCGGGGCCGCACGCGCGCUACACUGAAGGGAUCAGCGUGGCGCCCACCCUGGCCCGAGAGGGCUGGGAAACCCGUUGAAUCCCCUUCGUGCUAGGGACCGGGGCUUGUAAUUGUUCCCCGCGAACGAGGAAUUCCCAGUAAGCGCGGGUCAUAAGCCCGCGUUGAUUACGUCCCUGCCCUUUGUACACACCGCCCGUCGCUACUAUCGAUUGAGCGGUUCAGUGAGAGCAUUGGAUCGGUCGCGGCCUGGGGUUCGCGCCCCGGCGUCCGCGUGCCGAGAAGACGUUCGAACUCGAUCGCUUGGAGAAAGUAAAAGUCGUAACAAGGUUUCCGUA
RNAcentral lists this ribosomal RNA (537 nucleotides) under Palio dubia. RNAcentral's name for it is "SSU rRNA". It matches the Rfam family "Eukaryotic small subunit ribosomal RNA", at positions 1319 to 1827 of the family's 1831-position model. The record is from RNAcentral. Lineage: Eukaryota; Metazoa; Mollusca; Gastropoda; Nudibranchia; Polyceridae.